Molecule: ribosomal RNA, 200 nt
Filed under: uncultured bacterium
Lineage: Bacteria
Description: partial 16S ribosomal RNA
Rfam family: Bacterial small subunit ribosomal RNA
Source: RNAcentral
AUUGAACGCUGGCGGCAUGCCUAACACAUGCAAGUCGAACGGCAGCAUGAGAGAGCUUGCUCUCUGGGUGGCGAGUGGCGGACGGGUGAGGAAUACAUCGGAAUCUACCUUUUCGUGGGGGAUAACGAAGGGAAACUUACGCUAAUACCGCAUACGACCUACGGGUGAAAGUGGGGGACCGCAAGGCCUCACGCGAUUAG